AUGAGUGUCUUGAACUGGAACUGCCGGGGGCUUGGGAAUCCCGAGGCAGUUCGGGAGCUUCACAGCAUUGUGAAGCAAGAAGGCCCCAUUCUACUCUUUGUAAUGGAAACGAAAAUCAGAGCGAAACGAGUAGAGGAUUUAAAGCACUCUCUAGGUUUUGGAGGAUGCUAUGCUAUGGACAGUGCUGGCCUUAGUGGCGGUACUGGUCUAUUUUGGUCUCGUGAUGUUAUUGUGGAGUUGAAAAACUACAGUCAAAAACAUAUUGAUGUUGUUGUUCGGAACAAUGAUCAAAACAAUUCGGUAUGGCGCUUCACAGGUUUUUACGGAGCACCGCGAGCGGAAAAUCGUCACCACAGUUGGCGGUUUUUGCGCAACCUUUAG
This 381-nucleotide ribosomal RNA is filed under the name Triticum aestivum (bread wheat). RNAcentral describes it as "partial small subunit ribosomal RNA". Lineage: Eukaryota; Viridiplantae; Streptophyta; Magnoliopsida; Poales; Poaceae. The record is from RNAcentral.